This 341-nucleotide unclassified non-coding RNA is filed under the name soil metagenome. Its description in RNAcentral is "partial contains 5.8S ribosomal RNA, internal transcribed spacer 2, and large subunit ribosomal RNA". The stretch from base 1 to 120 matches the Rfam family "5.8S ribosomal RNA", at positions 35 to 154 of the family's 154-position model. The record is from RNAcentral.
GAUGAAGAACGUAGUGAAAUGCGAUAAGUAGUGUGAAUUGCAGAAUUCAGUGAAUCAUCGAAUCUUUGAACGCACAUUGCGCCCUUUGGUAUUCCAAAGGGCAUGCCUGUUCGAGCGUCAUUUGUACCCUCAAGCUUUGCUUGGUGUUGGGCGUCUUGUCUCUAGCUUUGCUGGAGACUCGCCUUAAAGUAAUUGGCAGCCGGCCUACUGGUUUCGGAGCGCAGCACAAGUCGCACUCUCUAUCAGCAAAGGUCUAGCAUCCAUUAAGCCUUUUUUUCAAAUUUUGACCUCGGAUCAGGUAGGGAUACCCGCUGAACUUAAGCAUAUCAAUAAGCGGAGGA